This 253-nucleotide ribosomal RNA is filed under the name uncultured prokaryote. RNAcentral's name for it is "partial 16S ribosomal RNA". It matches the Rfam family "Bacterial small subunit ribosomal RNA", at positions 525 to 777 of the family's 1533-position model. The record is from RNAcentral.
ACGUAGGUGGCAAGCGUUGUCCGGAUUUAUUGGGUUUAAAGGGUGCGUAGGUGGCCCUGUAAGUCAGUGGUGAAAUAUCUCAGCUUAACUGAGAGGGUGCCAUUGAUACUGCAGGGCUUGAGUACAGAUGAGGUAGGCGGAAUUGACGGUGUAGCGGUGAAAUGCAUAGAUAUCGUCAAGAACACCGAUAGCGAAGGCAGCUUACCAAGCUGUAACUGACACUGAGGCACGAAAGUGUGGGGAUCAAACAGGA